Molecule: non-coding RNA, 804 nt
Filed under: Pan troglodytes (chimpanzee)
Lineage: Eukaryota; Metazoa; Chordata; Mammalia; Primates; Hominidae
Source: RNAcentral
GGAAGGGAGGAAGCGUAGAAGGUGCCGAUGCACUUUUCCUCUCUCCAGCCCUCCUGACUGCUCCAAGAAUUUCAUCGAACAAGACUCAAAGAGGCCCAGCUGCUCUGCGUUUUGAUUCUUCUCCCUCUCUCAGUCCACACUGACCUGGGAGGGGCUUCUCAAACACCACAUUUCCUAGCAUGCUGUGAGAAGAGGACUGUGAGCUAAGAAGGGAGAAAAGAGAGUCUAAGUGCCAUUCAUAUAGGCCCCCAAUUUGUUACCCUUAGCAUCAGAAAAUGAAAUCAGUAAACACCAAAUGAAAGCAACAACAAAAAAAUUAACUUCAGGAUCUAAAGUUCACAUUUAAAACAGCUUCAAAAGUAACAUGCACAACUGGCAACGAUCUCUUCAGACUACUAAUGUCCAGAUCUGACAAUUAAUAUGCUAAAGGUGGCCAGUAUGCAAGUGGUAACAGAAAACAGAAGGGAAAACCGAAGAAAGUUCAUGAAUUCUCUACCUCUGAGCAAGAGUUAGCUAGCUGAGUAUGUUACCGAAUCUCACUUUGAGGACUAGGAGUGGGAAUCCAGAUUUAAUUCCUAGUUAGUCAUUAACUAUGUGAACUUACUUAGAUUUAACUUCUUUGGGCCUCAGUUUACCUCUAAAAUGAGUACAAUUGUCAAUGAAAUUCACAAACAUUUACCAUGUGGGUAAAACAAAAAGCAUAGCCCUUGCUCCAAAUUCUGACACGUCUAAAUUCUAUGACUGUUUUGGCUAUGACUUUCUCACUCUUAGAAUAACUGGGUUUAUUAGGAAUUACAAUUAGUU